This is a long non-coding RNA of Papaver somniferum (opium poppy), 1434 nucleotides long. RefSeq lists it as uncharacterized. The transcript has 5 exons. The record is from RefSeq and is a predicted model, not a curated record. NCBI's taxonomy places the organism in Eukaryota, Viridiplantae, Streptophyta, Magnoliopsida, Ranunculales, Papaveraceae.
AAGACUACCAUAGCCUUUGCUCUAAAGAAGAAAUCAUCUCUCUUAAUUACACCGCAUAUAUCAUCUCCCUCUCACCUCACCUCUGCUCCCGGUAUCCAUCUCUCACCUAAAGAACCAGCACCAUGGAAAUCCCAUUCUCUUGAUUCUUCUUCUGAUCAAUAACCUCAGAUGCCGCUAAUUAGAUCUCAAACCUGCUGGAAUAGAUUUACAUCCUGACUUGGUGGCUCUGAAAUCCGAAGAAAAGGCUCCUUUGGUGGUAUUAGCUCAAACCCCAUGGUCAACUUCUCUGGUGUUGUAGGAACCCCCUUCUUGCUCUUGGUACUGAUUGCUACAGUCGCUUUGAACGACAAGGGUCAGAACCUCAAUGCUUCUUACUACCACAUUGACAGUCCCUUAACCAAUACAACUGUUGGCGCCGAGCUUUCCAUAGUUUCAGUACAAAUGAGAACAUGCACCUUGACCAUCGAUACCCAGAAAGCUCCGGACCCAUUGACUUAGAGAAGCUCAGAGACGGCUUAGUCUGCACUUAAAAUUACUGGACCGCCCGAGUAAGAAUCAACAGAGCUGUCUGGGGACCCUUGAACAGGACGAUAAUAAGCGCUGGAGAAGAUGCGACAAUUCACAUCUGGGAUUCUGAGCACUUGGAAACUGUAAUCAAGUCUCGCAUCCCAGGCCUCCAGUCGCUAAUUUAUAAAAGUAUUGCUGAACUAGAGGCGGAAAUAAGUCGUUGCUGCAAGACUGUUGUUACGGAUGCUGGAGUAACACAACACCAAAAAUGGACUUUAGCAACUUGCUUCCGCUGUCGCAAAUCGGGGUCGCAACUGCACAAGCUGUGUGACAGGGGUGACUCGAAUUUUCGCAAUGGAAAUAUAGCUGUUGCGAAUUUCGAGUCGCAACUUUUCUCACCUGUUGCGACGCAAAAAUUUAGCAACAUCCGAUCAGCAGUUGCGAUUUUUUUACUAUUCGUUAUGAAUUCUUGACUAAGUCAACGAAGACUGACCUCAAAAAGUCGGGGUAGAAAAUUAGCAACAACUGAAAAGCUGUUAGUAAUUUUUUGCAACAGAAAAAAAGAGAGCCAGUCUUCGUUGACUUAGUCAAAAUCAAUCUCGCCAUUUUUCCCGCAUACAGCUAGUUCAUACCCGCAACUACCCAGAUUGAACAAUUCUUGUGAUUCAAUCCAAUAAAUCAUAUUCAACACACAAUCAGGAUAAAAUUUAACUACAAUAUCUCAUUAUUGACAAAGAUAACAAAAAAAAAAAAAAAUCUAGAGUAGCCUUGCUUUGCAAUCUAUCAAGGCAUCUGACAACAUAAACAUUUCGAUUAAACACAAAUACAAACAAGUGUUAUGCCACUUCUAAAUUUCUGUGUUAUGAAAUGAUAACAUGAUAGUGGAGUUCAAUUGCGAUUUCUAUGUUAUAAAAUAUGUACAUAUUG